UACCCGGUGGCCGACGAAGCGCGGAGAUGGGCUUCUUAGCCUCGUUUUGAGGCACAUUCGAAGGCCAUGCCUUCUCAACCCCAAAGAAAUCGAAAGAAAGGUCCCCCCUCUCCCCGGUUCGACUUCGGCGAUUGGAGAAGAGAUCUCCAGCGAUGAGUCUGUGGGAAGAUCAAGGUGAGGUUACCUUUCUCUUUACCUUUUCGUUUAUUUUCGUACAUGAAAAAGAAAAAAGAACUAAAACACAAUAAAAAAAACAAAGAAAUCAAAACCAAGAACUAGAUGAAAGAAACUAUUGUAAAAACCAAAAAUCACCUUAAAAUCUCUUUUAGAUUC
RNAcentral lists this long non-coding RNA (333 nucleotides) under Gossypium barbadense (sea-island cotton). RNAcentral's name for it is "long non-coding RNA (GBAR_LNC020226)". The record is from RNAcentral. Lineage: Eukaryota; Viridiplantae; Streptophyta; Magnoliopsida; Malvales; Malvaceae.